This 30-nucleotide non-coding RNA is filed under the name Mus musculus (house mouse). Lineage: Eukaryota; Metazoa; Chordata; Mammalia; Rodentia; Muridae. The record is from RNAcentral.
UUGUAUUUGAUGUGUUCUUUGAUUAGCAUU